GACGGGGGGGCAAGUGUUCUUCGGAAUGACUGGGCGUAAAGGGCACAUAGGCGGUGAAUCGGGUUGAAAGUGAAAGUCGCCAAAAAGUGGCGGAAUGCUCUCGAAACCAAUUCACUUGAGUGAGAUAGAGGAGAGUGGAAUUUUGUGUGUAGGGGUGAAAUCUGUAGAUCUAUGAAGCAACGCCAAAAGUGAAGGCAGCUCUCUGGGUCCCUACUGACGCUGGGGUGCGAAAGCAUGGGGAGCGAACAGG
This 250-nucleotide ribosomal RNA is filed under the name uncultured bacterium. RNAcentral's name for it is "partial 16S ribosomal RNA". It matches the Rfam family "Bacterial small subunit ribosomal RNA", at positions 524 to 776 of the family's 1533-position model. The record is from RNAcentral.